AUGUUGAAACACCGGUUCCCUUACACUCACCAAAGUUAAGCAAUGACAAGCCUGGUUAGUACCUAGAUGGGUGACCAUUUGGGAAUACCAGGUGCU
This is a non-coding RNA of Acanthosepion pharaonis, 96 nucleotides long. The record is from the annotation of a GenBank genome assembly. Lineage: Eukaryota; Metazoa; Mollusca; Cephalopoda; Sepiida; Sepiidae.